UCCUGCUAGAUCGAUUUCACCUCGAAUCUGCUGUACAUCUUGAAGCGGUUCUUUUCUGCUAAAAUUCUUUUCUUAAAGUAAGUUCGUCUUCGGCAGGCAUGGAGGGAACCGUCAUGACCGACAGCAAGUCGAAGAGCCUCGUAGCCUACCAUGAGGUUGGCCAUGCUGUCUGCGGGUAAUUUCUUCACAAUACAUGCAUCUAUUGUCCAAAUUGAUAUCCCUGGUUCGGCAGGGUUGCAAACUAAUCAGUUAUAUUUGCGACGCAGAACUUUAACCCCAGGCCACGAUGCAGUGCAAAAGGUGACUCUCAUCCCGAGGGGUCAAGCUCGCGGUCUCACCUGGUUCAUCCCUGGGGAAGAUCCUACUCUCGUCUCCAAACAACAAAUCUUCGCUCGCAUUGUUGGUGCUCUAGGUGGACGCGCUGCCGAGGAAGUCAUU
Molecule: long non-coding RNA, 438 nt
Filed under: Physcomitrium patens
Lineage: Eukaryota; Viridiplantae; Streptophyta; Bryopsida; Funariales; Funariaceae
Description: long non-coding RNA (PPAT_LNC013852)
Source: RNAcentral